UACAGAGGUUUCAAGCGUUGUUCGGAUUCAUUGGGCGUAAAGGGUGUGUAGGUGGCUCGCUAAGUCGGGCGUGAAAUUUCGGAGCUUAACUCCGAAACUGCAUUCGAUACUGGCGUGCUUGAGGACUGGAGAGGAGACUGGAAUUCAUGGUGUAGCAGUGAAAUGCGUAGAGAUCAUGAGGAAGACCAGUGGCGAAGGCGGGUCUCUGGACAGUUCCUGACACUGAGACACGAAGGCCAGGGGAGCAAACGGG
Molecule: ribosomal RNA, 253 nt
Filed under: uncultured bacterium
Lineage: Bacteria
Description: partial 16S ribosomal RNA
Rfam family: Bacterial small subunit ribosomal RNA
Source: RNAcentral